This 481-nucleotide ribosomal RNA is filed under the name uncultured bacterium. Its description in RNAcentral is "bacterial SSU rRNA". It matches the Rfam family "Bacterial small subunit ribosomal RNA", at positions 33 to 507 of the family's 1533-position model. The record is from RNAcentral.
GACACGCUGGCGGCGUGCCUAACACAUGCAAGUCGAGCGGAGUCGAUCGACGGAAGCCUUCGGGCGGAAGAUGGUUGACUUAGCGGCGGAUGGGUGAGUAACGCGUGGGCAACCUGCCUCGAAGACCGGGAUAACAGCCCGAAAGGGCUGCUAAUACCGGAUGUGGUCAAGGAUCCGCAUGGAUUUUUGAUUAAAGGGGAAACCCGUUUCGAGAUGGGCCCGCGUCCUAUCAGCUAGUUGGUGAGGUAAAAGCUCACCAAGGCGACGACGGGUAGCCGGCCUGAGAGGGUGACCGGCCACACUGGAACUGAGACACGGUCCAGACUCCUACGGGGGGCAGCAGUGGGGAAUCUUCCACAAUGGGCGAAAGCCUGAUGGAGCGACGCCGCGUGAGCGAAGAAGGCCUUCGGGUUGUAAAGCUCUGUCUGGAGGGACGAAGGAAGUGACGGUACCUCCGGAGGAAGCCACGGCUAACUACGUG